RNAcentral lists this ribosomal RNA (301 nucleotides) under uncultured bacterium. RNAcentral describes it as "partial 16S ribosomal RNA". It matches the Rfam family "Bacterial small subunit ribosomal RNA", at positions 509 to 807 of the family's 1533-position model. The record is from RNAcentral.
CAGUCGCCGCGGGAAUACGUAGGUGGCAAGCGUUGUCCGGAAUUAUUGGGCGUAAAGGGCUCGCAGGCGGUUUCUUAAGUCUGAUGUGAAAGCCCCCGGCUCAACCGGGGAGGGUCAUUGGAAACUGGGAAACUUGAGUGCAGAAGAGGAGAGUGGAAUUCCACGUGUAGCGGUGAAAUGCGUAGAGAUGUGGAGGAACACCGGUGGCGAAGGCGACUCUCUGGUCUGUAACUGACGCUGAGGAGCGAAAGCGUGGGGAGCGAACAGGAUUAGAUACCCCCGUAGUCCCUGUCUCUUAUAC